AAAUUGAAGAGUUUGAUCAUGGCUCAGAUUGAACGCUGGCGGCAGGCCUAACACAUGCAAGUCGAACGGUAACAGGAAGCAGCUUGCUGCUUCGCUGACGAGUGGCGGACGGGUGAGUAAUGUCUGGGAAACUGCCUGAUGGAGGGGGGUAACUACUGGAAACGGUGGCUAAUACCGCAUAACGUCGCAAGACCAAAGAGGGGGACCUUCGGGCCUCUUGCCAUCAGAUGUGCCCAGAUGGGAUUAGC
This 248-nucleotide ribosomal RNA is filed under the name Salmonella enterica. RNAcentral's name for it is "partial 16S ribosomal RNA". It matches the Rfam family "Bacterial small subunit ribosomal RNA", at positions 1 to 245 of the family's 1533-position model. Lineage: Bacteria; Pseudomonadati; Pseudomonadota; Gammaproteobacteria; Enterobacterales; Enterobacteriaceae. The record is from RNAcentral.